UCUCCGUUGGUGAACCAGCGGAGGGAUCAUUAUUUGAUUGAGUUUACGCUCUAUAACCCUCUGUGAACAUACCUAUCGUUGCUUCGGCGGCCCGUUUUGGGGGGCCCGCCGGUGGUUUUUAUACUCUUGUUUCUCGUCCGACGUAUCGUCUGAGUGGCAAAAGCGAAUGUCAAAACUUUCAACAACGGAUCUCUUGGUUCUG
This 202-nucleotide unclassified non-coding RNA is filed under the name soil metagenome. RNAcentral's name for it is "partial contains small subunit ribosomal RNA, internal transcribed spacer 1, and 5.8S ribosomal RNA". The record is from RNAcentral.